GUGACUGCGUACCUUUUGUAUAAUGGGUCAGCGACUUAUAUUCUGUAGCAAGGUUAACCGAAUAGGGGAGCCGGAGGGAAACCGAGUCUUAACCGGGCGUUAAGUUGCAGGGUAUAGACCCGAAACCCGGUGAUCUAGCCAUGGGCAGGUUGAAGGUUGGGUAACACUAACUGGAGGACCGAACCGACUAAUGUUGAAAAAUUAGCGGAUGACCUGUGGCUGGGGGUGAAAGGCCAAUCAAACCGGGAGAUAGCUGGUUCUCCCCGAAAGCUAUUUAGGUAGCGCCUCGUGAAUUCAUCUCCGGGGGUAGAGCACUGUUUCGGCUAGGGGGCCAUCCCGGCUUACCAACCCGAUGCAAACUGCGAAUACCGGAGAAUGUUAUCACGGGAGACACACGGCGGGUGCUAACGUCCGUCGUGAAGAGGGAAACAACCCAGACCGCCAGCUAAGGUCCCAAAGUCAUGGUUAAGUGGGAAACGAUGUGGGAAGGCCCAGACAGCCAGGAUGUUGGCUUAGAAGCAGCCAUCAUUUAAAGANCAGACCGCCAGCUAAGGUCCCAAAGUCAUGGUUAAGUGGGAAACGAUGUGGGAAGGCCCAGACAGCCAGGAUGUUGGCUUAGAAGCAGCCAUCAUUUAAAGAAAGCGUAAUAGCUCACUGGUCGAGUCGGCCUGCGCGGAAGAUGUAACGGGGCUAAACCAUGCACCGAAGCUGCGGCAGCGAACGUAUCACCCAAGACAACUUUACGGAGUUGACGAUUGACGGAGCGAAGCGACGUCAAAGCGUUCAUUAAAGUCGAGUUGGCUUAGGGAUACGUUC
Molecule: ribosomal RNA, 816 nt
Filed under: Salmonella enterica subsp. enterica serovar Weltevreden
Lineage: Bacteria; Pseudomonadati; Pseudomonadota; Gammaproteobacteria; Enterobacterales; Enterobacteriaceae
Description: bacterial LSU rRNA
Rfam family: Bacterial large subunit ribosomal RNA
Source: RNAcentral